Molecule: ribosomal RNA, 306 nt
Filed under: Triticum aestivum (bread wheat)
Lineage: Eukaryota; Viridiplantae; Streptophyta; Magnoliopsida; Poales; Poaceae
Description: partial small subunit ribosomal RNA
Source: RNAcentral
AUGAUGGAUGAGUAUGAGGCUGGACUUGCUGGACUUUUGGAGUUUGAGGCGCUCGAGCGCGAGAUGCGCGAACUUGUCCCCGCAGCGACCAGCGCAAUCGCGCUCCUGGCCACUCCAAGGGUGGGUGAUACGAGGGAGACCUACUGCCAUGUUUGCCAUGAUGAUUUCGAGGAGGGGGACAAGCUGAGGGCGAUGCCCUGCGCCCACUCUUUUCAUCAGCGCUGUAUCUUCAGGGUGCUCAGUGUUAACCGUCUGUGCCCAGUCUGCAGCCACGAACUUCCGGGGGACUACCUGGAGAUGCCUUGA